UACGGGAGGCAGCAGUGGGGAAUAUUGCACAAUGGGCGAAAGCCUGAUGCAGCUAUGCUGCGUGUAUGAAGAAGGCCUUAGGGUUGUAAAGUACUUUCAUCGGGGAGGAAAAACAAAACUAAUAAUUUUAUUUCUUGACGUUACCCGAAAAAGAAGCACCGGCUAACUCCGUGCCAGCAGCCGCGGUAAUACGGAGGGUGCUAGCGUUAAUCAGAAUUACUGGGCGUAAAGAGCACGUAGGUGGUUUUUUUAAAGUCAGAUGUGAAAUCCCUGGGCUUAACCUAGGAACUGCAUUUUGAAACUGAAAUACUAGAGUAUCGUAGAGGGAGGUAGAAUUCUAGGUGUAGCGGUGAAAUGCGUAGAUAUCUGGAGGAAUACCUGUGGCGAAAGCGGCCUCCUAAACGAAUACUGACACUGAGGUGCGAAAGCGUGGGGAGCAAACAGGGAUUAGAUACC
RNAcentral lists this ribosomal RNA (456 nucleotides) under uncultured bacterium. Its description in RNAcentral is "bacterial SSU rRNA". It matches the Rfam family "Bacterial small subunit ribosomal RNA", at positions 340 to 786 of the family's 1533-position model. The record is from RNAcentral.